CGUAGGGUGCGAGCGUUAAUCGGAAUUACUGGGCGUAAAGCGUGCGCAGGCGGUUUUGUAAGACAGAUGUGAGAUCCCCCGGGCUCAACCUGGGACCUGCAUUUGUGACUGCAAGGCUAGAGUACGGUAGAGGGGGAUGGAAUUCCGCGUGUAGCAGUGAAAUGCGUAGAUAUGCGGAGGAACACCGAUGGCGAAGGCAAUCCCCUGGACCUGUACUGACGCUCAUGCACGAAAGCGUGGGGAGCAAACAGGAUUAGAUACCCUGGUAGUCCACGCCCUAAACGAUGUCAACUGGUUGUUGGGUCUUUACUGACUCAGUAACGAAGCUAACGCGUGAAGUUGACCGCCUGGGGGAGUACGGCCGCAAGGUUG
RNAcentral lists this ribosomal RNA (372 nucleotides) under uncultured organism. RNAcentral's name for it is "bacterial SSU rRNA". It matches the Rfam family "Bacterial small subunit ribosomal RNA", at positions 526 to 896 of the family's 1533-position model. The record is from RNAcentral.